AGUCGACUCGAGUCUUCGGACUUGGGUGGCGCACGGGUGAGUAACGCGUAAAGAACUUGCCUCUUAGUCCGGGACAACAUCUGGAAACGGAUGCUAAUACCGGAUAUUAUGGUUUUUUCGCAUGGAGGAAUCAUGAAAGCUAGAUGCGCUAAGAGAGAGCUUUGCGUCCCAUUAGCUCGUUGGUGAGGUAACGGCCCACCAAGGCAAUGAUGGGUAGCCGGCCUGAGAGGGUGAACGGCCACAAGGGGACUGAGACACGGCCCUUACUCCUACGGGAGGCAGCAGUGGGGAAUAUUGGACAAUGGACCACAAGUCUGAUCCAGCAAUUCUGUGUGCACGAUGACGUUUUUCGGAAUGUAAAGUGCUUUCAGUCGGGAAGAAGUCAGUGACGGUACCGACAGAAGAAGCGACGGCUAAAUACGUGCCAGCAGCCGCGGUAAUACGUAUGUCGCAAGCGUUAUCCGGAUUUAUUGGGCGUAAAGCGCGUCUAGGCGGCAAGGAAAGUCUGAUGUGAAAAUGCGGAGCUCAACUCCGUAUGGCGUUGGAAACUGCCUUACUAGAGUACUGGAGAGGUAGGCGGAACUACAAGUGUAGAGGUGAAAUUCGUAGAUAUUUGUAGGAAUGCCGAUGGGGAAGCCAGCCUACUGGACAGAUACUGACGCUAAAGCGCGAAAGCGUGGGUAGCAAACAGGAUUAGAUACCCUGGUAGUCCACG
Molecule: ribosomal RNA, 715 nt
Filed under: uncultured bacterium
Lineage: Bacteria
Description: bacterial SSU rRNA
Rfam family: Bacterial small subunit ribosomal RNA
Source: RNAcentral